AUUGAACGCUGGCGGAAUGCUUUACACAUGCAAGUCGAACGGCAGCACGGACUUCGGUCUGGUGGCGAGUGGCGAACGGGUGAGUAACGUAUCGGAACGUGCCCAGUCGUGGGGGAUAACGUAGUGAAAAUUACGCUAAUACCGCAUACGAUCUAUGGAUGAAAGCGGGGGAUCGCAAGACCUCGCGCGAUUGGAGCGGCCGAUAUCAGAUUAGGUAGUUGGUGGGGUAAAGGCCCACCAAGCCAACGAUCUGUAGCUGGACUGAGAGGACGACCAGCCACACUGGAACGGAGACACGGUCCAGACUCCUACGGGAGGCAGCAGUGGGGAAUUUUGGACAAUGGGCGAAAGCCUGAUCCAGCCAUUCCGCGUGCAGGAUGAAGGCCCUCGGGUUGUAAACUGCUUUUGUACAGAACGAAAAGGUUUCUGCUAAUACUAGGAGCUCAUGACGGUACUGUAAGAAUAAGCACCGGCUAACUACGUGCCAGCAGCCGCCGUAA
This 500-nucleotide ribosomal RNA is filed under the name uncultured bacterium. RNAcentral's name for it is "partial 16S ribosomal RNA". It matches the Rfam family "Bacterial small subunit ribosomal RNA", at positions 30 to 523 of the family's 1533-position model. The record is from RNAcentral.